UUGUGUAUGUAUACUUAAUUGAACUACCUUUUCACUUGGCAAUUCCCUCACUCUCCAACGCCAUUCCUCACAUUUUCUCAGCUGCUUGGAUGCCGUCACCUUCGCCAGGCGGGAGAAGCGAUGGCAGAGGACCUUGAAAGCGACCAUGUUGCGUCGCUCAAACACGGAAGAGACGCGGCCGGAAGUUAUUGAUUACCAGCUUUGAUUGGCGCCAAUCAGUCGGGACAUGCGCAGUCGGCUGCUGCGCAGGUGCCAUAUAAUUGCUCGUUAGCUUGCAACAUUAGCUUUGGGAUAAAGUGUUGUGUGUGGAACAAAAUACUAAAGCCUACUUGGUGAUGGGAGUAACAGACAUGACUGCACACAUUUCCUGUGGCAGUUUUGAGUCUUGGCCACAAGAUGUCGCUGUAAACAGUGUGACGGCGUGUCGUCACGUCAUGACAUUGCUGGAUUUAUCAGCAGAGGAGCAUGUUCGGCAGCGGACAAUCACAGAGUACUUACAAGCAGACACAGUGUGUAGAUAUAAAAGGGAGAAUGGACGCAUUUUGGCUUAAAAACUAAAUAUACAAAGGUGAAGUUAUAACACUGAAACACCCAAAGGAAGAGAUGCUUUAAAACAUGGCUAGCUAGUUAGCGGCUAAUGUCCAUCUGCAAUCUGCAGUGUUUUAGCUACUUCUAAAUCACUAAUCCUCGCCUCCAUGGUGACAAAUAAAGUCAGUGUUUUACAAGUACCAGGAGGAGGAAUAGCUAAACAUGCUUCACUACACACCAUAGGAGGAUACAACAGCUCACCGCCAUCACGAAUGGAUGGAUCUACACCUGACAUCCACUGUAAUGAUACCAAGUACAAGAGCGUAUGUAGUCGAUACUACUAUGAUUACAUCAAUAUGUUUUAUCGUCACAAAAUCUUUUUUCUUUUUUUUUAUUCAUAUUAUAUUCAUAAACUCGAGAAAUACGUCCCUGGACACAUGAGAACUUAAAUUAAGUUAAAGUUAAAGUACCAAUGAUUGUCACACACACACUAGGUGUGGUGAAAUUUGUCCUCUGCAUUUGACCCAUCCCCUUGAUCACCCCCUGGGAGGUGAGGGGAGCAGUGGGCAGCAGCGUAGCCGCGCCCGGGAAUCAUUUUUGGUGAUUUAACCCCCAAUUCCAACCCUUGAUGUUGAGUGCCAAGCAGGGAGGUAAUGUGUCCCAUUUUUAUAGUCUUUGGUAUGACCCGGCCGGGGUUUGAACUCACAACCUACCGAUCUCAGGGCGGACACUCUAACCACUAGGCCACUGGGUAGGUUUUGACCAAUUGUGUAUGACCAUUAUGACCAAUGUAUGAUCCUGUAACUACUUGGUAUCGGAUUGAUACCUAAAUUUGUGGUAUCAUCCAAAACUAAUGUUCACUAUUUUAUGUAAGGACAACAGUGUUCUUCGAUUGCAAUAAGAAACAUAUGUUUAAUGUACCCUAAGAUUUUUUUGUCAAAAUAAAGCCAAUAAUGCCAUUUUUUUGUGGUCCACUUUAUGUAGAAAAGUAUCGAAUUACAUUUUGGUACCGGUACCAUACUUGCCAACCCUCCCGUUUUUAGCGGGAGACUCCCGGUAUUCAGCGCCUCUCCCGAUAACCUCCCGGCAGAAAUUUUCUCCCGACAAACUCCCGGUUUUCAGCCGGAGCUGGAGGCCACGCCCCCUCCAGCUCAAUGCGGACCUGAGUGGAGACAGCCUGUUCUCACGUCCGCUUUCCCACAAUACAAACAGCUUGCCCGCCCAAUGACGUCAUAACUGUAGAAUGAUCGAGGGCGAGUUCUUGGUUUCUUAUGUGGGUUUAUUGUUAGGCAGUUUCAUUAACGUCCUCCCAACGCGGUAACAACACACAACAACAGCAGUCACGUUUAGUCUACCAUAAAGCAGUUCGUCUGCCGUAAACAGCAAUGUUGUGACACUCUUAAACAGGACAAUACUGCCAUCUACUGGAUAGCCUUCAGAACACUGAAAUUCAAGUAUUUCUUUUAUUUAUAUGUAUAAUAAAAAAAUAAUAAUAAAAUAUAUAUAUAUAUAUAGCUAGAAUUCACUGAAAGUCAAGUAUUUCAUACAUAUGUAUGUAUGUGUGUAUGUGUAUGUAUAUAUAUAUAU
Long non-coding RNA from Entelurus aequoreus (snake pipefish), 2115 nucleotides. RefSeq lists it as uncharacterized. Lineage: Eukaryota; Metazoa; Chordata; Actinopteri; Syngnathiformes; Syngnathidae. The record is from RefSeq and is a predicted model, not a curated record. The transcript has 3 exons.